Molecule: ribosomal RNA, 497 nt
Filed under: uncultured bacterium
Lineage: Bacteria
Description: partial 16S ribosomal RNA
Rfam family: Bacterial small subunit ribosomal RNA
Source: RNAcentral
GAUGAACGCUGGCGGCGUGCCUAAUACAUGCAAGUCGAGCGAACGGACGAGAAGCUUGCUUUUCUGAUGUUAGCGGCGGACGGGUGAGUAACACGUGGAUAACCUACCUAUAAGACUGGGAUAACUUCGGGAAGCCGGAGCUAAUACCGGAUAAUAUUUUGAACCGCAUGGUUCAAAAGUGAAAGACGGUCUUGCUGUCACUUAUAGAUGGAUCCGCGCUGCAUUAGCUAGUUGGUAAGGUAACGGCUUACCAAGGCAACGAUGCAUAGCCGACCUGAGAGGGUGAUCGGCCACACUGGAACUGAGACACGGUCCAGACUCCUACGGGAGGCAGCAGUAGGGAAUCUUCCGCAAUGGGCGAAAGCCUGACGGAGCAACGCCGCGUGAGUGAUGAAGGUCUUCGGAUCGUAAAACUCUGUUAUUAGGGAAGAACAUAUGUGUAAGUAACUGUGCACAUCUUGACGGUACCUAAUCAGAAGGCCACGGCUAACUACGUG